AGAGAGUGCGAGCGUUAAUCGGAAUUACUGGGCGUAAAGCGCACGUAGGUGGGCAUUUAAGUCGGAUGUGAAAGCCCCGGGCUUAACCUGGGAACUGCAUUCGAUGCUGGAUGCCUAGAGUAUGGUAGAGGGAAGUGGAAUUUCCGGUGUAGCGGUGAAAUGCGUAGAUAUCGGAAGGAACACCAGUGGCGAAGGCGACUUCCUGGACCAAUACUGACACUGAGGUGCGAAAGCGUGGGGAGCAAACAGGGAUUAGAGACCCUGGUAGUCCACGCCGUCAACGAUGAGAACUAGACGUUGGGAAGUUUAACUUCUUAGUGUCGUAGCUAACGCGUUAAGUUCUCCGCCUGGGGAGUACGGCCGCAAGGUUA
This 371-nucleotide ribosomal RNA is filed under the name uncultured organism. Its description in RNAcentral is "partial 16S ribosomal RNA". It matches the Rfam family "Bacterial small subunit ribosomal RNA", at positions 527 to 896 of the family's 1533-position model. The record is from RNAcentral.